Long non-coding RNA from Gadus macrocephalus (Pacific cod), 1686 nucleotides. RefSeq lists it as uncharacterized. The record is from RefSeq and is a predicted model, not a curated record. The transcript has 5 exons. Lineage: Eukaryota; Metazoa; Chordata; Actinopteri; Gadiformes; Gadidae.
GCGGGACUCUGGCGGAGCAAAACGAACAAGGCGCGGCCAAGGAGUCCUGUCUCUCGCACGUGCAGACAAAGGGGACUAAACAACACAAAGCUGUGCGCGCCCCUUCAAACUUUUUCACCACAUACGACGUCGCGGGCAAAAUCGUGGAUGCCAAGAUUGUGGGAAAAGAGGAGACAGAGAGGAGAUUGCAGUGCUAUGUUCAUGGUGCUACUCUACAGUUGGCUUCCAACUUCCGACUAUUAGGAUUAAACAACUGCAGCUAUCUCUUGAAGAACUCACUCAGGAUUUAUACCACUAAAGACCGGUGCGGCGUUUUCCGCACACUUUUGGAUUUAAAAAACUCUUGGAGACAUUUGGGGAUUACAAAAUGUGCCGAUCUUGCUUUUCUAACGUCUUUGAACAUGAAACGUCUGAUCUAAAAUCCCGCGGAUCGCAGGGUGCAUGGCAAUGGAUCCUCCUCAGCCUACGAGAUGGACGGUGAGCACGGGGAACGAAGGGGGUCCGGGAGGUCGUGACCUUAAUUUUCUCCCGGAGACUGGGUUUAAUUAAGAAGGGUGGAGGUGAAGGGAGGGGGGGUACGCGGGGGGGGGGGGGUACCUCCACCAGCUCCUCCUCUUCCUCCACAACUUCCACCUCCACCGUACUCUUCACUCAACUCCAAGACACGCCUCCGAGACCAAGACUGUCUGCUCUAGCCGAGCUCCCCCCACCCGCCCUCUCCAGAGUCAACGUUGGGAGAGGACCACCUUGUAGGGAUUUUCCUCUUCAGCAGAUGAGUGCUGACCAUCACAAAGGGAACAUGGACUACAACCUACAUCCUGAUGACGUUGCUUUGACCUGCGUUACACUGGCUCCUUCUGACCCCCAUGAACAGGACAUGCAUCCAACUUGAUCUACUUCAGAUCUAUUUGAAGUCCUUUCACUUAUAGAAGAUAAGUGAACGAUUAUUUGAGCUUCUAUAAGAGUACACAAGCUCGUAUCACAGUAUACGUUUGCUUCUUGUGUCAAAGUACUUGGCUCCCUGAAUGGUCAUGUGAUCCACUUGUGUUCCUGGAGUAUGCAAAUGAAAAUCCUUCGAGCUGAUUCGAUAUGGAAGUUUGGGUGAUGGUCAUCUCUCGCCACACACACAGGCUAUCACAGGGAAGUGGGGAGGAAUUAAACUAUCCAAUUAGAGACCGGGGUUGAUGAUUAGGGGGCCAUGUGGGUUCACGAGCGGGGUUAAGUUCCUAACAAGCUGGUCAUGAGGGCUUGCCCUGUUGUUGGCCUUGACUUGGACAGUCUGGAGGAGAGUGGCCACCGGUUCCAUGAGAGGAGGACAGCCCUUCACAUACUCCUCCUCCUCCUCUCUUGGACGGAUGAGGAGGAGCAGCUGCAGCCAACAGACUCAUCCCACCAGGGGGCAAGAUAGAAACAUCUUGGGGGGGCCCCGCUGUAUCGGCAGGCUGUUCGUCGGGACUGACCGCAGCACCAGCCAUCGACGACCCAUUAGGAAAAUUGAAGAUUUACGUUUGGCUUAAAAUAUUGCAGCUCGGAAUGUUCCACAUAAUUCUGCAAAUGAAUGUAUUUCUAUGUUUAUGUAUGAGUGCUUAUGUGAGUGCUUAGUAUUCAAACUAAGCAACAACGUACAUGGAAUACAUUUGUAUGAAUUAUUGAAUAAAAGAAGCACAAAAGCAGUAUAUAUCUAUA